Molecule: ribosomal RNA, 139 nt
Filed under: uncultured bacterium
Lineage: Bacteria
Description: partial 16S ribosomal RNA
Rfam family: Bacterial small subunit ribosomal RNA
Source: RNAcentral
UGGGGAAUAUUGCACAAUGGGGGAAAGCUUGAUGCAGCAACGCCGCGUGAGGGAUGACGGCAUUCGGGUUGUAAACCUGUUUUAGCAGGGAAGAAGCGAGAGGGACGGUACAUGCAGAAAAAGCACCGGCUAAAUACGU